GUUGGAGAAUUGAUCCUCUGGAAGGUGUUCAAAUGAUGUACAUAAUCGAUGUUUAAGUACAAGUUACUGAUCAGAUUAACUGCAAUGAACCUGUCAUUUCCAACAUCAGUUUUGAAGACCAACAUUAUGCUGCCUUUAAUGGAGGGGAUCGGUGUAAACAACAUCCACAUUCCAUCCAAGGCCCAGACUAGACACCAGAGUUACUAGUUUUUACAUGGCUUGAUUAGAAAAGAGGUGGUUCCUAUGCACUGAAGUUUUCUCUACUAGAAUGGGCACAUUUCCCAGCACAAAUAUGAUACUUCUAUACUAAUCAGGAUGGAGUCUUAUCCUGCAAUGAGACUUAAAUUUUGGGCCUUUCACCACAUCAUUGCUGUUUUCUACGAGGUCAAAAAUAGAUAUAGAGUAAACCAACCCCAAAAGUCAAUUACAGGGUUUUAUAGUGAUGUACUGUGAAAAAUUUGGUCAUGUUUUUCAUUAUACAGAAUGUUCUUUCCAAAGACAUAAACAGAAAAA
Pan troglodytes (chimpanzee) is the source of this 513-nucleotide long non-coding RNA. RefSeq lists it as uncharacterized. NCBI's taxonomy places the organism in Eukaryota, Metazoa, Chordata, Mammalia, Primates, Hominidae. The record is from RefSeq and is a predicted model, not a curated record. The transcript has 2 exons.